AGUGAACGCUGGCGGUAGGCCUAACACAUGCAAGUCGAACGGCAGCACAGUAAGAGCUUGCUCUUACGGGUGGCGAGUGGCGGACGGGUGAGGAAUACAUCGGAAUCUACUUUUUCGUGGGGGAUAACGUAGGGAAACUUGCGCUAAUACCGCAUACGACCUACGGGUGAAAGCAGCGGAUCUUCGGACCUUGCGCGAUUGAAUGAGCCGAUGUCGGAUUAGCUAGUUGGCGGGGUAAAGGCCCACCAAGGCAACGAGCCGUAGCUGGUCUGAGAAGAUGAACAGCAAGACUGGAACUGAGACACGGUCAAGACUAGUACGGGAAGCAGCAGAGGGGAAUAUUGGACAAUGGGCGCAAGCCUGAUCCAGCCAUACCGCGUGAGUGAAGAAGGCCUUCGGGAUGUAAAGCCCUUUUGUUGGGAAAGAAAAGAAGAAGGUUAAUACCCCGCUGUUCUGACGGUACAAAAAGAAUAAGCACCGGCUAACUUAGUG
RNAcentral lists this ribosomal RNA (492 nucleotides) under uncultured bacterium. RNAcentral's name for it is "partial 16S ribosomal RNA". It matches the Rfam family "Bacterial small subunit ribosomal RNA", at positions 29 to 507 of the family's 1533-position model. The record is from RNAcentral.